This 254-nucleotide ribosomal RNA is filed under the name uncultured bacterium. Its description in RNAcentral is "partial 16S ribosomal RNA". It matches the Rfam family "Bacterial small subunit ribosomal RNA", at positions 524 to 776 of the family's 1533-position model. The record is from RNAcentral.
UACGUAGGGGGCUAGCGUUGUCCGGAAUCAUUGGGCGUAAAGCGCGCGUAGGCGGUCAGGUAAGUCCGGUGUGAAAGUCAAAGGCUCAACCUUUGAAUGCCGCUGGAUACUGCCUGACUUGAGUCCGGAAGGGGCGAGUGGAAUUCCUGGUGUAGCGGUGAAAUGACGCAGAUAUCGAGAGGAACACCUGCGGCGAAGGCAGCUCGCUAGGACGGUACUGACGCUGAGACGCGAAAGCGUGGGGAGCGAACAGG